The sequence is a small nuclear RNA, 128 nucleotides long. Its record names the gene U4. It matches the Rfam family "U4 spliceosomal RNA". Rfam says of the family: U4 small nuclear RNA (U4 snRNA) is a component of the major U2-dependent spliceosome. The structure of U4 snRNA from yeast and human has been reported. The record is from Ensembl.
AGCUUUGUGCAGUGGCAGUAUUGUAGCCAAUGAGGUUUAUCCGAGGUGCAAUUAUUGCUAAUUAAAAAAGUUAAAAGUUAAGUGAUGUAAGAUUUACAUAAAAGAAUAUUCUCAAUGAAAAAUGCUUC